This is a long non-coding RNA of Triticum aestivum (bread wheat), 1169 nucleotides long. RefSeq lists it as uncharacterized. NCBI's taxonomy places the organism in Eukaryota, Viridiplantae, Streptophyta, Magnoliopsida, Poales, Poaceae. The transcript has 3 exons. The record is from RefSeq and is a predicted model, not a curated record.
GAUACACUCAAAUCUGUAGUCCCGUCUCCAAGUUGACCCAUAUAUAUAGAUGCCCGUGUGCUCCUCAUCCGAUUUUUGGAAAAAUCAAAAGAUCGUGUGCCCUAUACCUCCAUCCCGAUCUCGCUGGACUUGCGCCGCCGACAGAAGCUUUCACGGGAGCACCGAACCGAGCGCUACAACCUCGACCAGAAGCAGAGCACCGCCGCCUUCGCUCCAGUAGUCCAUCGACGCCACCAGAGGGCGUGAUCCUCCCCGACGAGGCUCCCUUUGUCUUCACAGGAGAGUUCUGCGACCGCCCGUCCCUUCCUCCACCGCCGGAGACGCGCGGAAGCCAUCGCCGUCUUUCCCCCUGGUCGCUCGCGCCGUCGUCUUCUUCAGGUCCGGCGCGCAGCUCCUCUGUUCUCCGAUUGUCCAGAGUGUGAAGCGGACCAGAAUUAAGCGUUAGAGUACUUCAACACCGUUCAAGGCAAGUUACACUUUUGAUUAUGCUCAUCCUAUAUGUCUGUUGUGCACUGUUAUGAUAUGUUAUAUGCUUGGUAUGACUCUUAUAUUGCUUGUCGCCAUGUGCGUGUCAUGUUUGCAUUGUUUAAUUGUAUGCUUGGAUUUGCUAUGGUAGACGUGGGUAUGUGUCGAGUGGUGCAUGGAAGUGGUGAGUCUUUAUAGCUGUAGGCUCGGGACUUUUUCUCAGGUGAAUGCGUCAAUGGCUGAGCGCUCUAUUGUCCCUAGAGAAUGCGCCAUGACUGAGCGCACUUGGGUUGUCGGGGCUUUUUCUCACGUGAAUGCGUCACUGGCUGAGCGCUCUAUUGUCCCUAGAGAAUGCGCCAGGACUGAGCCCACUUGAGACAUCUUGAAGAUCUUUAUCAUCUGUGUUGUUUGCACCUUGCCUAUGUCGUGGAGGUAGGUGAAGGUAGUUUUACGCGAAACCAACUUGAGUGUUUUGUUUGUCAUACUUUGCAGGUAGAUGUAGGUUUGCUUUAUCAUUAUGUGUAAUUUGCCAAUACAUUCAAUGUAUUGACCCUUUGUGGCUGCAACUUAUCAUGUUGCAGGAUUUUCAGAUGAUCAGUGAGAUAGAGUAGGGUCGGGAGUCUUCACUCAGCAUUUUCGCCAGUGGGCAUUGAUGGGAUUCAUCGUUUAUUAUGCUAUCUUUCCGCUGUUAUUAUUGAAUAAAG